Long non-coding RNA from Setaria italica (foxtail millet), 1610 nucleotides. RefSeq lists it as uncharacterized. NCBI's taxonomy places the organism in Eukaryota, Viridiplantae, Streptophyta, Magnoliopsida, Poales, Poaceae. The transcript is spliced from 8 exons. The record is from RefSeq and is a predicted model, not a curated record.
CUUCCAGUAAAUAUAGAAGAAACACAUUGGUACUUAGCUAUUCUUAACGUAAAAAAUUGUGAGAUACAAGUACUGGACUCAUUAUGUUGGAAGUUCCAUUGAGAUGACCUCACUAAUAUGCUAAAGGAUGUCAUUUGAGCAUUCUUGAAAAAUAGGAAGAGUUGAUUGACCAUAAUUGGAAAAACCUGCAAGUUACUGAAUGGACGAUCAUAGAACAAUUGGAAGAACCAACCCAGAAAGACGGCUCAUCUUGUGGUCUAUUUAUGGUCAAGUUUACCUGGACUGGAGAGACACUAUCUCAUGCUAUUACACAGGUAUAUUUUAUAUAGUUUAUGUCAUACUAAUUUUUAUACUUACCCACAUUCAUUGCUACUUUACAGGAAGAUAUUAGUCAAUUUAGACAGAAGUUAGCCGGUAUACUAUUAUGUUGAAAAAUAAACAUAGCAGAAAUGACUACCAAGUCUCUACAAAAUCAUGGCACUGAGAAAAAUUCAAAUGAUGUUGUGAUAUUGGAAAGUCAAGAUGAUAGAAUGAAAUCCAAAGAUUUAGAAUCAUUAUUUGUUCAUGAAAUGAAAUCCAAAGAAUUAGAGCCAUUAUCAGAUCAAAAUAAAUACCAGUCACUAAUGUCCAUUCUUUCUACAAUGAGUGUGCAUGAGUUACUUGGUGGCCUUUGCGACUACAUCAAAUCAAUUAAUUGUGCAGAAACAUUGAAGAAUGUAUGGAUCCAAAACUCCAAGCCAUAUUCCAUUACCUUGACUAUCAAAAAGCUGCAGGAAAUGCUAAAUGAGGAUGUGCCCAUGGACCGUGAUUGUUUAAAUUUGGUCAUACGAAAGAUUAUGUUCGACAACAUUGAAAUAGUGAAGAAGACCAAAGGUAUCAAAGCAUUGUCUAGACAUGCAAUUUUAGGUUACUAUAGAUUUUUGGAUGACACCUGAACUACCGUAAAAACUUGGAUGUGGAACGGCUAGCGGAGACUGUUCGUAGCUAGCCUGGUAUUACAUAUAGUGCUUCAAGAUGCAAAACAAUUCUUAUGCUAAUAGAAUUCAAUGGUGGCUUCAUUCUGAUUGUACUCAAUAAAGACACCAGGACAGUAUACAUUUUGGAUCCAACUCCUCUUAACCCCAUUUACCAAUACAAUCCAAAUGCAAGAUAUGUGAAGAAACUUUUAUGGAUAGCUGAAUACUUACCAAAAGCUAUGUCAAAAACAUGCCCUGGGUCUACAUGGAAUGAGGAUAUUUUCCUGUGGCGUCAAAUAAUCAUACCUGAUGUUCCAAUUUAUGAUAGGGAACUAUCCUGUUAUCUUGUUUCCCUCUUCAUGUCCGCAUGGAAAGAUGAAGAACUACAAUUGCUAGUUUUAAAGGAUGGGUGCGAGCUCAGAAAGCGAAUUUUGGGACAACUACUAACAUACAAAGAUAAUGAAUGUAAAUACAAUAUGCCCUCCGGUGUCCUGGACUUUAUAAGUUGUAUCAGCAAUACUCAAAAGUGAAAAGAAAGAGGGUGAUGUCAAUAUGAGUGAAUCAAAAGAAGCUUAAAACAUUCAAAUGAUGAAGAUAAAUUGUAUCAAAUCGUAGUCCGUAUUAUACUUAUGUGAUUAGUACAAUUUAUUUGAG